Molecule: non-coding RNA, 471 nt
Organism: Cinara cedri
Lineage: Eukaryota; Metazoa; Arthropoda; Insecta; Hemiptera; Aphididae
Source: the annotation of a GenBank genome assembly
AAAGUGAAAACCAAAUCAGAACUGCUAUGUAUAGAACGAAGACCAACGAGAAGAAUACAAACGGAGAGUAGAUCCAGAAAACGUUAGUCGAAUCGGAUUUAAAAAUACGGGGGAGGGGGGAAUAGUAAAUAUUGAUCGGGACAACUACGUUAGAUAUACGUCUCUAAGCUAAAUUAGAGCUAGAAAAAAGAAGACUACUUUUGAAUUCCGGUAUCAUUUGUGUUUUGGGUUUUCCCUGACAGUGAACAAGUUUUCGACUAGAAUACUUGUUCCGAUCGAAAAUUUCAAUAAAAAAAAAAAUUGAUUUCGAUCUAUACAGGAUGAUCAAUCAUGAGACACCCAUUACUUCGGAAAGUAUUGACUUUUUUAGGAAUUUAUUUUAUAAAACAAAAACACAGGCAGCUCUACAAUUUUACAUUUAUGUUAUUCUGUAUCACCCUUAUUUAUUUAGGUAAAACUACUACAUACUUU